AUUGAGAUGCAUUUUUCAACUACCUACUGAUUUUAUCUCCUUUCUUUUUAUCACAAAAAUAUACCUCCACACAUAUAAACACAAAAUACUCAGACCACACAUACACACAAAAACUAUUGCUUCUCCACCAUUCUUUUUCUUUCUUUUUCUCCCCUUUUUCUCUCUCUUUCUCUCACUCCCCAAAAGCCUUAAACCGCCACCGGCGAACCAACGGUGAUUCGGUGGAAUCCCCCUUCCUUUGCCUCACCACUUUGACAAUCACCAAGAAACCAUCAGUGCCACCCCUUGUCUCCCUUUCUAGCAAAACACCACCAAUUUUUCCUCUUUUCGUUGUUCCUUUUUUGCGCUGCCUUGCCGAAGGUCGUGGCCGGCGAGAUUCAACCGUACCACCGCUACGCGCCACCCAACACCGCUAAAAUAGCUGCACCACCACAAACCACCACCUUCUCUUCCUUAUCACUAUUUCGGCCAACCAAGAACAAACCCAUGUCAGAUUCCGGCUAAACUCAAUCGGAAAUGAUGAGCCAUUGUCGGUUUAUUUAUCAGUUUUUCAGAUCUGGGCGACAAUACUAUGACAAUACAAAAUAUGACAUCGCAAUUUGAAGUUAUUCUAUUUCUUUGUUAAAUUGUUGAUUAUUGGGAAUACUCGUUGGGAAUGGCAUGCAAAGAAGACCUUAAAUUUUGUGUUUGUAUUUUUAUAUUUUUAUACUUGUACAAAUACUAUCAUAGUGAAAUUUUAUUUUUUGGGGCGUUGGACGGGCA
Molecule: long non-coding RNA, 762 nt
Organism: Capsicum annuum
Lineage: Eukaryota; Viridiplantae; Streptophyta; Magnoliopsida; Solanales; Solanaceae
Exons: 2
Source: RefSeq, a predicted model, not a curated record